Molecule: long non-coding RNA, 278 nt
Filed under: Elaeis guineensis (African oil palm)
Lineage: Eukaryota; Viridiplantae; Streptophyta; Magnoliopsida; Arecales; Arecaceae
Description: long non-coding RNA (EGUI_LNC068562)
Source: RNAcentral
UGGUGGCCUUGCGAAGGUGCUUCAAUCCGAAGCUUCAUCUCACUUUCCUACGCAACUUGGCAUGCGCACGAAGUAAAGGGCCUGCAGAUCCAGACCUAUGUAAAGGUUUAAAUUCAGAUUUCAAGAAUUUCAUCCCUAUUCCACUACAAUUUAGAUAAAAUUUGAUCUUUAUUUAGUUCUAUUGGUGCAGAAUUCCACCGACACCAGAGAAGCUGGAGUCGAGGGGAUCGUGCCCGCCAUCGGGACCUGCAAGGGAAGUCUAAACCGGAGUUGGGAGU